This is a long non-coding RNA of Electrophorus electricus (electric eel), 205 nucleotides long. The record is from Ensembl. NCBI's taxonomy places the organism in Eukaryota, Metazoa, Chordata, Actinopteri, Gymnotiformes, Gymnotidae.
CCGGAUAUCUGACAAGCAAAUCAAAACCAUUAGCUAGCUAGCUGCUCCUGUCACCUCUACUAUACCAACUGCCUAACAAGAUAAUAUAUAUAUAAAUACAGCUUAUAUAUAUUUGAAUACAUUUAUACAACACCGAAGAGCACUGGACUGAAAGCACCCAAGACAAAUGGAAAUGUUGCUGAUGAGGGCAUCCACGCACAGUAAG